Molecule: ribosomal RNA, 493 nt
Filed under: uncultured bacterium
Lineage: Bacteria
Description: bacterial SSU rRNA
Rfam family: Bacterial small subunit ribosomal RNA
Source: RNAcentral
AAAGGAAUAGACGGGGGCCCGCACAAGCGGCGGAGCAUGUUGCUUAAUUCGAAGCAACGCGAAGAACCUUACCAAGGCUUGACAUGCAGGGAAAAGCCGUAGAGAUACGGUGUCCGCAAGGGUCCUGCACAGGUGGUGCAUGGCUGUCGUCAGCUCGUGUCGUGAGAUGUUGGGUUAAGUCCCGCAACGAGCGCAACCCUCGUCCUAUGUUGCCAGCGGGUAAUGCCGGGGACUCAUAGGAGACUGCCGGGGUCAACUCGGAGGAAGGUGGGGAUGACGUCAAGUCCUCAUGCCCCUUAUGUCUUGGGCUGCAAACAUGCUACAAUGGCCAGUACAGAGGGCUGCGAGACCGUAAGGUGGAGCGAAUCUCAAAAAGCUGGUCUCAGUUCGGAUUGGGGUCUGCAACUCGACCCCAUGAAGUCGGAGUCGCUAGUAAUCGCGAAUCAGCAACGUCGCGGUGAAUACGUUCCCGGGCCUUGUACACACCGCCCGU